Molecule: ribosomal RNA, 253 nt
Filed under: uncultured bacterium
Lineage: Bacteria
Description: partial 16S ribosomal RNA
Rfam family: Bacterial small subunit ribosomal RNA
Source: RNAcentral
GACGGACCACACAAACGUUGUUCGGAAUUACUGGGCGUAAAGUGUGCGCAGGCGGCCGAGCAAGUCGAGUGUGAAAGCCCCGAGCUUAACUUGGGAACUGCGCUCGAAACUACUUGGCUGGAGUGUGGCAGAGGAAGGUGGAAUUCCACGUGUAGCGGUGAAAUGCGUAGAGAUGUGGAGGAACACCGAUGGCGAAGGCAGCCUUCUGGGCCAACACUGACGCUCAUGCACGAAAGCGUGGGGAGCAAACAGG